Molecule: long non-coding RNA, 1105 nt
Organism: Ornithodoros turicata
Lineage: Eukaryota; Metazoa; Arthropoda; Arachnida; Ixodida; Argasidae
Exons: 3
Source: RefSeq, a predicted model, not a curated record
AUUCUGAUGCAUUCCAUGUAUCAAUUUCACCUUAUUUCCCAAUUCCUUUCGUUACUCACCCCACAAAUUUCGCUGCAUGGCUCAUUUUCGAAGCGCUUGCCCAUUUCCUUGAAAUGUUAAAAGUAUCUCUACCUCACUCUGGCUCAAGAUAAGUUCACGUUUUGAUAAGUAGAAACCCUGAAGCAAUCCAGAAAUGAAUUUCAUCUUACUCACUCCAUUUUUUGUUCACAUAAUGGACACAUUUUGGAAAUACUGCUCCUAUCCUAAGCAGUCUUACAUGCGAAAUUUCUACUAAAAAUAUUUCAACCCCACUCAGGCCAAGGGCGUGUCAUCUCUCCGAACCACCUGCCGAUGUUUCUUUCCAAUGUUCAAAAUAUUUUUACCUCACACACAUUCAAGGAUUCCAUUUGUGCAGCCCAAGUCUAUAAAAGAGUGAGGUCAAACAACAGCAAUGAUGCCUGAGGUGCCUGUUUGCCCCACAUGAACACCAACAGUGUAAAACUAUCAACUUUGAGGACUACGAAUCAGUCAAGAUCACACUUCAUCGGGUGACACCUCUAGAGUGAACACUGCAAAUUAUAGGACUUCAUAUGUUCCUGUCAUCCACUACAAUGGUCCAAGUGUUUCACAAUGUAGGCAACGUGCAAGAAAAAAAAUGACCUUUGGCGGCCUGCAAAGGCGUGACAGUUAGUCAGUUGUAACGGCAGUGGCCACGCGUGGAGCCAGAAAUGUGCGCUCACUUGUACAUUCCAUCACUGCCAGUCAGAACUCAUGUUGAGGAAGCUAUCUCCUCCUGAUGGUCCUGAGGUUGAGGAAGUCUCCUCUACUAGAGGAGUAAGAACACACCAUGUGACGCCAUCGGGAACAUUCCACCUCUCCAGCAUCCUUUCCGUCCUGUGCGAGUAUCACCGUCUCUGUCGUGAGAAACACUAUAGGGGCACAGAGUCUUGGUAGCACCCAUCUAAGCCCUACACAGCCACAUCCCCUGACACACUUCCUUUGCCAGCAGCAACAUUAGCAAGGGUGAAGCAAGUUCCUUAACUGGCUUAAAACUGUACUACAAUGCAACUUCAGCUACUGUGCAAUAAAUCCUCGUCUCCAAUGA